GACGAACGCUGGCGGCGUGCUUAACACAUGCAAGUCGAACGGAAAGGCCCUGCUUUUGUGGGGUGCUCGAGUGGCGAACGGGUGAGUAACACGUGAGUAACCUGCCCUUGACUUUGGGAUAACUUCAGGAAACUGGGGCUAAUACCGGAUAGGAGCUCCUGCUGCAUGGUGGGGGUUGGAAAGUUUCGGCGGUUGGGGAUGGACUCGCGGCUUAUCAGCGUGUUGGUGGGGUAGUGGCUUACCAAGGCUUUGACGGGUAGCCGGCCUGAGAGGGUGACCGGCCACAUUGGGACUGAGAUACGGCCCAGACUCCUACGGGAGGCAGCAGUGGGGAAUAGUGCACAAUGGGCGGAAGCCUGAUGCAGCAACGCCGCGUGCGGGAUGACGGCCUUCGGGUUGUAAACCGCUUUCGCCUGGGACGAAGCGUGAGUGACGGUAAUGGGUAAAGAAGCACCGGCUAACUACGUG
This 468-nucleotide ribosomal RNA is filed under the name uncultured bacterium. RNAcentral describes it as "partial 16S ribosomal RNA". It matches the Rfam family "Bacterial small subunit ribosomal RNA", at positions 28 to 507 of the family's 1533-position model. The record is from RNAcentral.